This 497-nucleotide ribosomal RNA is filed under the name uncultured bacterium. Its description in RNAcentral is "partial 16S ribosomal RNA". It matches the Rfam family "Bacterial small subunit ribosomal RNA", at positions 28 to 507 of the family's 1533-position model. The record is from RNAcentral.
GACGAACGCUGGCGGCGUGCCUAAUACAUGCAAGUAGAACGCUGAAGCGAGGAGCUUGCUCUUCUUGGAUGAGUUGCGAACGGGUGAGUAACGCGUAGGUAACCUGCCUUGUAGCGGGGGAUAACUAUUGGAAACGAUAGCUAAUACCGCAUAACAAUGGCUGACACAUGUCAGUUAUUUGAAAGGGGCAAUUGCUCCACUACAAGAUGGACCUGCGUUGUAUUAGCUAGUAGGUGAGGUAACGGCUCACCUAGGCGACGAUACAUAGCCGACCUGAGAGGGUGAUCGGCCACACUGGGACUGAGACACGGCCCAGACUCCUACGGGAGGCAGCAGUAGGGAAUCUUCGGCAAUAGGGGCAACCCUGACCGAGCAACGCCGCGUGAGUGAAGAAGGUUUUCGGAUCGUAAAGCUCUGUUGUAAGUCAAGAACGAGUGUGAGAGUGGAAAGUUCACACUGUGACGGUAGCUUACCAGAAAGGGACGGCUAACUACGUG